GAAAUGCGAUAAGUAAUGUGAAUUGCAGAAUUCAGUGAAUCAUCGAAUCUUUGAACGCACAUUGCGCCCGCCAGCACUCUGGCGGGCAUGCCUGUUCGAGCGUCAUUCAACCCUCAGAACCCCUUGCGGGAUCUGGCGUUGGGGAUUGGCAUCCAGCCAGUCCCGAAAUCUAGUGGCGGUCCCUCCGCGACCUCCCCUGUGCAGUAGCGAUACCUCGCAGCGGGACAGCGGUCUGACCACGCCGUAAAACCCCCAACUUCUCAAGGUUGACCUCGAAUCAGGUAGGAAUACCCGCUGAACUUAAGC
This 306-nucleotide unclassified non-coding RNA is filed under the name plant metagenome. RNAcentral describes it as "partial contains 5.8S ribosomal RNA, internal transcribed spacer 2, and large subunit ribosomal RNA". The stretch from base 1 to 105 matches the Rfam family "5.8S ribosomal RNA", at positions 50 to 154 of the family's 154-position model. The record is from RNAcentral.